GAUGAUAUAGUUCAGCGGUGGAGCACUUGCCUUGCAUGCAUGAAUCCUUGGAUUUGAUCCCUAGCAUUGUUA
This 72-nucleotide transfer RNA is filed under the name Cavia porcellus (domestic guinea pig). It matches the Rfam family "tRNA". From Rfam's summary of the family: Transfer RNA (tRNA) molecules are approximately 80 nucleotides in length. Their secondary structure includes four short double-helical elements and three loops (D, anti-codon, and T loops). Lineage: Eukaryota; Metazoa; Chordata; Mammalia; Rodentia; Caviidae. The record is from Rfam by way of RNAcentral.